Molecule: ribosomal RNA, 253 nt
Filed under: uncultured bacterium
Lineage: Bacteria
Description: partial 16S ribosomal RNA
Rfam family: Bacterial small subunit ribosomal RNA
Source: RNAcentral
UACGAAGGGGGCUAGCGUCGCUCGGAAUCACUGAGCGUAAAGCGCACGUAGGCGGAUUGCUAAGUCAGGGGUGAAAUCCUGGAGCUCAACUCCAGAACUGCCUUUGAUACUGGCGAUCUUGAGUCCGGGAGAGGUGUGUGGAACUGCGAGUGUAGAGGUGAAAUUCGUAGAUAUUCGCAAGAACACCAGUGGCGAAGGCGGCUCACUGGCCCGGUACUGACGCCGAGGUGCGGAAGCGUGGGGAGCAAACAGG